CGGGGAAUCUUGCGCAAUGGGGGAAACCCUGACGCAGCGACGCCGCGUGGGCGAAGAAGGCCUUCGGGUUGUAAAGCCCUGUUGGUAGGAAAGAAGAUCUGACGGUACCUACUGAGGAAGCCCCGGCUAACUCCGUGCCAGCAGCCGCGGUAAGACGGAGGGGGCAAGCGUUGUCCGGAAUUACUGGGCGUAAAGGGCGCGUAGGCGGCUUGUUAAGUCGGUUGUGAAAGCCCCGGGCUCAACCCGGGGAGGCCAGCCGAUACUGGCGGGCUUGAGUGCAGGAGAGGGAAGUGGAACUGCCGGUGUAGCGGUGGAAUGCGUAGAUAUCGGCAGGAACACCCGCGGCGAAGGCGGCUUCCUGGACUGUUACUGACGCUGAGGCGCGAAAGCCAGGGGAGCGAAUGG
Molecule: ribosomal RNA, 405 nt
Filed under: uncultured bacterium
Lineage: Bacteria
Description: bacterial SSU rRNA
Rfam family: Bacterial small subunit ribosomal RNA
Source: RNAcentral